AGCAGCCGCGGUAAUUCCAGCUCCAAUAGCGUAUAUUAAAGUUGUUGCAGUUAAAAAGCUCGUAGUUGAAUUUCGGGGUCAGUAGGUUGGUCGUGCCACCGGUACGUACUGGUCUCACUGAUUCCUCCUUCCUGAAGAACCGUAAUGCCAUUAAUUUGGUGUUGCGGGGAAUCUGGACUGUUACUUUGAAAAAAUUAGAGUGUUUAAAGCAGGCUAACGCUUGAAUACAUUAGCAUGGAAUAAUGAAAUAGGACGUUCGAUCCUAUUUUGUUGGUUUCUAGGAUUGACGUAAUGAUUAAUAGGGAUAGUUGGGGGCAUUAGUAUUCAAUUGUCAGAGGUGAAAUUCUUGGAUUUAUGAAGACUAACUACUGCGAAAGCAUUUGCCAAGGAUGUUUUCAUUAAUCAAGAACGAAAGUUAGGGGAUCGAAGACGAUCAGAUACCGUCGUAGUCUUAACCAUAAACUAUGCCGACUAGGGAUCGGAUGAUGUUAAUUUUAUAAUGACUCAUUCGGCGCCUUAC
This 520-nucleotide ribosomal RNA is filed under the name uncultured Glomus. Its description in RNAcentral is "SSU rRNA". It matches the Rfam family "Eukaryotic small subunit ribosomal RNA", at positions 569 to 1091 of the family's 1831-position model. The record is from RNAcentral. Lineage: Eukaryota; Fungi; Glomeromycota; Glomeromycetes; Glomerales; Glomeraceae.